AGGGCACCACCAGGAGUGGAGCCUGCGGCUUAAUUUGACUCAACACGGGAAAACUCACCCGGCCCGGACACUGGAAGGAUUGACAGAUUGAGAGCUCUUUCUUGAUUCAGUGGGUGGUGGUGCAUGGCCGUUCUUAGUUGGUGGAGUGAUUUGUCUGGUUAAUUCCGAUAACGAACGAGACUCUAGCCUAUUAAAUAGAUCGUUGGCUUACAAACGCCGGCGAGACUUCUUAGAGGGACAGGCGGCGAUUCAGCCGCACGAAACAGAGCAAUAACAGGUCUGUGAUGCCCUUAGAUGUCCGGGGCCGCACGCUCGCUACACUGAAGUGAUCAGCGUGCAUUUUGAAACCUACUCUGUCAAGAGUGGGGAACCCAAUGAACCUUCUUCGUGAUUGGGAUAGGGGAUUGUAAUUAUUCCCCUUGAACGAGGAAUUCCCAGUAAGCGCGAAUCAUAAGUUUGCGCUGAUUACGUCCCUGCCCUUUGUACACACCGCCCGUCGCUACUACCGAUUGAAUGUUU
Molecule: ribosomal RNA, 519 nt
Filed under: uncultured eukaryote
Lineage: Eukaryota
Description: SSU rRNA
Rfam family: Eukaryotic small subunit ribosomal RNA
Source: RNAcentral